Molecule: ribosomal RNA, 488 nt
Filed under: uncultured bacterium
Lineage: Bacteria
Description: partial 16S ribosomal RNA
Rfam family: Bacterial small subunit ribosomal RNA
Source: RNAcentral
AACGCUGGCGGUAGGCCUAACCCAUGCAAGUCGAACGGCAGCACAGUAAGAGCUUGCUCUUACGGGUGGCGAGUGGCGGACGGGUGAGGAAUACAUCGGAAUCUACUUUUUCGUGGGGGAUAACGUAGGGAAACUUACGCUAAUACCGCAUACGACCUACGGGUGAAAGCAGGGGAUCUUCGGACCUUGCGCGAUUGAAUGAGCCGAUGUCGGAUUAGCUAGUUGGCGGGGUAAAGGCCCACCAAGGCGACGAUCCGUAGCUGGUCUGAGAGGAUGAUCAGCCACACUGGAACUGAGACACGGUCCAGACUCCUGCGGGAGGCAGCAGUGGGGAAUAUUGGACAAUGGGCGCAAGCCUGAUCCAGCCAUACCGCGUGGGUGAAGAAGGCCUUCGGGUUGUAAAGCCCUUUUGUUGGGAAAGAAAAGCAGCAGGUUAAUACCCCGCUGUUCUGACGGUACCCAAAGAAUAAGCACCGGCUAACUUCGUG